RNAcentral lists this ribosomal RNA (253 nucleotides) under uncultured bacterium. Its description in RNAcentral is "partial 16S ribosomal RNA". It matches the Rfam family "Bacterial small subunit ribosomal RNA", at positions 524 to 776 of the family's 1533-position model. The record is from RNAcentral.
GACGUAGGGCGCGAGCGUUGUCCGGAUUUAUUGGGCGUAAAGAGCUCGUAGGCGGCUUGUCGCGUCGUCCGUGAAAACUUGGGGCUCAACCCCAAGCUUGCGGUCGAUACGGGCAGGCUAGAGUUCGGUAGGGGAGACUGGAAUUCCUGGUGUAGCGGUGAAAUGCGCAGAUAUCAGGAGGAACGCCGGUGGCGAAGGCGGGUCUCUGGGCCGAUACUGACGCUGAGGAGCGAAAGCGUGGGGAGCGAACAGG